UACGCUGAUGAAGACAGUUUGUCGGUCGGAAAGGUUGGAUAUUUGUCACGGUCGUCCUCUUCAUCUGAAGAGGAGAGGCGAGAUGGAUCGGAGGACCAAAAUGCGGCGUGAAAAAGAAGUGCAGAGUUCGCCUCGGGAUUGGGAGCCGCUGUCCAUCGCCGUUCCCAAUCCCACCCAAACUGACGUCAUUGGAUGCCAGCAUGGUAACUGCGUCAGUUUGGAAAAACCGGGAGAAGAAGAACGUAAAGGAUCACGACCAACUUGAUUCUUCCUUUGUCUCUUCUUUCCAUUUGAAACCGUCUACAACAUCUCUGACGCCCCUCAACCCCUUGUCUGGCCGAACACCAAUCGGCACUCCAUCCCCCUCACCCCCUGGAUCCCCUGCCAGAUCCCCUUCCACUCUCUCCAAGUUCUUCGGCCUCUCUUGCCUCUCCUCUCUCCACAUGUCAUCUCUCUCUUCUUCUUCUUCUUCUUCUUCUUCAGAGGAAGGAUCACAGACCUCCUCCCCUUUUAGUGCAUCUUCUGUUUCCCUGGCUGUCUCAACUCAGUUUUCCUCCUCUGCCACUCCCCCCAGUCCUGCCUGCCCUUCCUCCACAACCCACGUCUCCUCCCCUGCCCCCCAGUCCUCCUCUCCAAACCCCCUGGACCACCAUGGAGAGACCAACAAAGACAGUGAGACUGCCAGAGAUCUUAUGAGCUCUGAGGUCAAAGAGGUGGGAGCAGUUGUUCCAAAGAGAAUGAUACCCCUAUUUGCUGGCAUUGCAGAGGCCUCCAUUGACCUGAAGGCUUCCUCUGUCUCCUUGGAGAGGCCAUUGGUCAGGUCUCGGGAAGCCAUGGCUCGCCUCCCCAACCUGGUCAGCAAGAGUAGCACCCAGCUGGGGGAGCAGAGCUGCACAGACGAGGGCGAAGACAACACCAAGCUCUUCGGGUUGCCUAAUAUUGGCAACACCUGCUUCAUGAACUCUGCUCUGCAGUGCCUGCUGGGGCUGCCAGCAUUUUGCAGAGACAUCCUGAGACAGCAGAACAUCUGGAGUUCCUCCCCCUCCUCUAAACUGCUAUGCUGCUUUGCCAAGUUACAUCAGGCCAGGCUUUCUGGAGGCACUGUUAAUGCUAAGAACAAGGAAAAUAAGAAAAUCCUUCAAACAGUCAAGCGCUGUCUUUCCGUUGUCAAUGAGGACUAUGAGGAAGACUAUGAACAGGAUGCCCAUGAAUGUGUGUUGCUCCUCCUCUUUCAGCUGAAGGAGGAGGGUAUGGCAUUAAAGGGCUCACCAGAGCCAUACACCUGCCCCGUGAAGCAGUUAGAAUUCAAGCUGAAGACUUCCCGUACCUGCACCAGCUGUGGAGUUAUAGUGUAUGGUCAGGAGGAUUAUAAUCACCUGUCACUGAGCCUGAGCCAUUACCUGCCACACAGCCUGGACCUCUACUUUAAGCCAUCUGCGUUAGAGUGUGCAUGCAGGGUGUGCUCAGGCAGCACGGCAUCUGUGACUAGGCACUUCCUCACGCUGCCCCGGGUCCUAAUGCUUCAUAUCAAGCGAUUUACUGCAGGUGACUGGGAGCCAGAGAAGGUGGAUGAUCCCAUGUCCAUCCCUGCAGAAAUAACCCUCCCAGCCGUAUGUGGGAAGACAGCCCAUGUCCAGUCUGGAGCCAGGGCAAGCUCCCUGGGUAGAAACAACAUGGACAACACACCUGCAAACUCCCCGAAAGGCACCCUUGAUAGACCAGAGACACCAGCCAGACAAUAUCUACAAAUUGUCAAGUGUGAUCUCACAUCUGGGAGACAACAUGUAUACAGGCCACUACAUCAGUGAUGUUUUGGACAGCCGUGGCAGUGGGUGGCUCUGCCUGGAUGACGCACAUGUCUUGAGGACAGAUGAGGCCACUGUGCUGAAGGAGAUUGCACAGACUGCCUACAUCCUGUUCUAUGUCUGCAGUGGAGCAGGUGAAGGAGACCAGGCCCCUCACUACCAGGAGAAGGACCAGGAGAACCCAUCAUUAAACUCAGGGAGUGGCACAGCGCUCAGGGACCACCUGGAGUAGCACCUACCACACACCAAGAAACAUCAGAUUAAUCGAAUUAGGCUGCCCUACACCACCAUCAACUGCCUUAGACCACCAUCAAGCUGCCCUAGACCACCAUCAGACUGCCCUACUCCACCAUCAAGCUGCCCUAGACCACCAUCAAGCUGCCCUACACCACCAUCAAGCUGCCCUACUCCACCAUCAAGCUGCCCUAGACCCCCAUGAAGCUGCCCUACACCACCAUCAAGCUGCCCUAGACCACCAUCAAGCUGCCCUAGACCCCCAUCAAGCUGCCCUAGACCCCCAUCAAGCUGCCCUACACCACCAUCAAGCUGCCCUACACCACCAUCAAGCUGCCCUACACCACCAUCAAGCUGCCCUACACCACCAUCAAGCUGCCCUAGACAACCAUCAAGCUGCCCUAGACCACCAUCAAUUAUCCCUACACCACCAUCAAGCUGCCCUAUACCACCAUCAGACUAUCCUAGACCAUUAGGACAUCACGCUGGCCUAAACCACCUAGACACCAAGCUGCACUAGACCACCAGAACACCAGGCUGCCCUAGACCACCAGAACACCAGGCUGCCCUAGACCACCUGGACAUCAGGGUGCCCUAGACCACCAGGCUGCCCUAGACCACCAGAAGAAACAGCCUACACCACAAAGCAUGUACCCACUCUAGGCCAUCUACUGUAUGUUUACAAUUAUAUAAAUAUAAAACA
Oncorhynchus kisutch (coho salmon) is the source of this 2742-nucleotide RNA transcript. It is a transcript of the gene named ubiquitin carboxyl-terminal hydrolase 37-like, with no coding region annotated. The transcript has 15 exons. The record is from RefSeq and is a predicted model, not a curated record. NCBI's taxonomy places the organism in Eukaryota, Metazoa, Chordata, Actinopteri, Salmoniformes, Salmonidae.